UAUCUACUGUUUUUGUGUCGUU
This 22-nucleotide non-coding RNA is filed under the name Arabidopsis thaliana (thale cress). The record is from RNAcentral. Lineage: Eukaryota; Viridiplantae; Streptophyta; Magnoliopsida; Brassicales; Brassicaceae.